UCCCUCUGUUCCUCUUUAAUCUGGAGCCCUAAUUCUGUACACAAACUCAAAGCGUAUAAUUAAAUUGUACACAUUUGUAAACAGAAACUCGAUUCCUAUGGCUUUCUAGUACCAGCUGUUAUAAAAAAACGAGAAAAUAAAAUAUUAGGUAUGGGUACAUUGGGGCUUAGAACAUUGUUCAUCAUAAUGCUACUUACGAUUUUUGACUUGAUAUAGUUUGUUCGAAAAAUCGGUGAAUGGUAUCUACCUCACCUGUUUUAAAACGAGUAUUUAUUGUAGUCGAUACCACUUAUUUGCGUGUGGGUCGGAAUCGGAAGUUGUCCGUCAAUAGCAAGAUUUCAGUUUAUUUCAACCCUAGACAUGUUUAUGGAUGAACACACCGACACACUACUAUGGAAUUCACGCAUGAAUACUCCUUUAUAAAGGUCAAAAUUUAAUAUUAUCCUCAAUCCCUAUAUAGUUUCUGACAAGUAUCUCAGAAGAGUUGAAGAAAAUUACCUAACAACGUUUCCCAUCGUGAUUUGUGUUGCACGACAUUUCAGUAGAAUAAUGCGAUUCCGCGAGCUCGUGACCGUCACAUUUGUAGAACUUCAAUAAAAUUAAAGUGUUCUGAAUGUAUAAUACUCAAUAAAUAUCAAACGAAUUAAAUUUACAAACACAUAUCAAAAUUAUAACAAUAUGUAAUCAAAUAUUAUGUCAAUAUAACAUAACGAAGAGCAACAAACUUUAAUUCGAUUUACUCAGUUGCAGUGAGUGCGGAAACUAUGGACGUUAAAUGAAUAUUAUCUUAACAUCAAAAAUCGUAACUACGAAUUGGUAACUUACGGACGGACGAACACCACAGGGACGAUGUAAGGCGUGUACUCGAAGUAUACAAAUAGUACAAGCAAACAGCUGCGGGAACGAACGCUCGUGGAUUUCAAUUAUUCUCGAACGAGAAAAACGGUUCAGUUUAGACUGAUCUGCAUGGAGUCGUUGAAUUGUGUAGUUAUCGAAAAGAAUACACGAUUUACAUUUUUGUAUCAAUAACAUACACUGCCAUCAUAAUUCUGACAAUCUGCGACUUUUAAACGAUUUUGGGGAGAUCAAAAUCUUUUUAUACAACCCCAGAGUUCCGGACACAACUUCAUAUUAUGUAAUAUGAACUUAAACUUCAACCCUCCUACCCAAAUUCAGACUGAUUAAGAAUAUAUGGAUAUUAAGUAAGUAGGAAUAUAACGUAUAAUACAGUGUAGCGCCAUUGACAUAUGUUCAUUGCGAGGUUUGAAACGAUAUGUGAGAAAAAUGAUAACGCGAUAUUUCAAGAAUUUUUACCUUAAAUACGUCUGUGGCCGUAAUUCACAUAUCACAUAUAAAUACAAGAGCGUACGUGUAUAAUACUAUUCGCGGAUAUAAAAUAUUAUUAUUAUAUACGGCAAUUAUAUACGCUUCGAUAAUAUUACCGUAAUUAAAGGCGACGACGACGACGACGACAACGACGUGGGAGAAACGAAUUUUUUUUUCAAUGCGCUCAAUUCAAACACAAUAUUAUACACAAACAGACCUUUAUUGUUAUAAUGAUAUUUAUAUAAAUAUGUGUGUGUGUGUGUGUGUGUGCGUGUUCGUGCAUAAUAUUUUAUUAUAUAUACGGUCGGCGAUACGCCCACACGCUUGUCGAAUUCGUCUCGUUUUAUACUUAUGGAAAAAAAUCGCGUUCUGUAUUAUUACUCGUAAUUCAUGAUGUUAUUAUAUUAACAUUGCGCUAUUGGAAAAAUGUCGUAUUUUAUUCUUUCAUUUUGUUUUGUCGGUCUCUGCGAAUUCAAACGUGCAUCUUUAAAGCGCAUAGGCUUAUAUUGCAACAUUCGACGAAUCUAUCGCGAAAGAACAAAAUAUACUAUGAUUUUCAGUGAACGUAUAGUAGGUAAUAGGUAUACUGGUCGCACAAAACGUGCUUUCAAGCAAACUAAAAAUACAACAUAUUUAACAAAAUAAAAGGCGAUCGCCACUAGACCCGACUAGGACACAAAUUCUGUUUUCGUACACAGGCUGAUUCGCCAAGCAUACUCGUCCCUGUUUUUCAUUUAAUAAGCGCAAUACUUUUAUUGAAAUUCUAAUUUUAUUUAUUUUUAAUUAAUACACUAGCAGACCUUAUUAUUAUUAUUUAUGAGUAUGAACAUUUUAAUGUAUCCAAUUUCAAACGCAUAUUUUGUCAGUAAUUAAAAUAUUAUACUAAGCAUAAUAGUUUUUGAAAACAAUUUUUCGGAAAAUUUCGAUUUCGAUGCGAUAAUGUUUACACAAAAAAAUAUUACUAUUCUAUUUAAUUGUCAGUUAAGGUGUUUUCUCCUUUAAAAAACGAAAGAUCAAAAGAUUUAGAAAUCUGUAUUGUUGAAGAAAUAAUAGGUUUGGGAAAGGAAGUGUAACUAUAUAGCUAUACCCUACAAAAUUAGGUUUAAUUUUGUGAUAUUGUAUAUUAUUUUUAUUCGGCACCUAAGUUUCUUUUUACCCACAAAUUAUAAAUUUGAUUAUCACUAUUAUAUUACACUUCCACGGUAGAAGGUGACGGUAUAUCGUUAUAAGGUGUACACUGUACAAUAAAAAAUAAUAAUUACAAAACAUAUUAUUAUAUUAUACAUUUUAUUUAUUGUAUAUUUAUUAUGUGCUUAUAUAAUUUAUAUCAUAUUAUUGAAUUAUUCUCGAACAGAGAGUCGUAUAUAGUCUUUGCGAACCCGUUUACCUAGCACACAUUAAAAUGUCACGAGGUACAGAUUUUUUUUCUUUUCGCUACAAUAAUUUAUCGCCGUUUCGAUAGUACCUGCGUUACCUAUAGGCUAUAAAAUAUUUUGUUUAAUUUUUUUUUUUUUUUUUUUGAAACAUGAUAAUAAUUUAUUACGCGUAUUGCAAAAUCUACCUAUAUUCUUGCAGCUUUGUACACAAUUCGAGCUUAGAUCGUAUACGAUUAAAAACGAAAGUUAAUAACAUACACUAGAUAUUAUUAAAAUUUAUUAGACUACGUAGGGUUUUCGAAUAAUGUUUCCUAAAUAACGUCGUUGUCGUCUCAAGAAUUCUUAAAAUCAUAUUAUUAGAUUAUACAUUUUUAUGUGUAAUCUGAGGAAAAUAGAACGCUGUAAGUGAAAAUGCUAAUAUACUUAUUUUAGUGAAUUAACUUAGCGAAUCCAUUACAUUAUAAGUUUUAUUUUAU
Aphis gossypii (cotton aphid) is the source of this 3178-nucleotide long non-coding RNA. RefSeq lists it as uncharacterized. The transcript has 6 exons. The record is from RefSeq and is a predicted model, not a curated record. Lineage: Eukaryota; Metazoa; Arthropoda; Insecta; Hemiptera; Aphididae.